Molecule: transfer RNA, 76 nt
Filed under: Ulva lacinulata
Lineage: Eukaryota; Viridiplantae; Chlorophyta; Ulvophyceae; Ulvales; Ulvaceae
Description: tRNA-Tyr
Source: RNAcentral
AUUAAUAGUAUUUAUAUUAAAAAUAUUUAAAGUUAUUUUAUAAAAAUUUUAUGAAACUAAAAGUUUCCUGCUGAUU